Molecule: ribosomal RNA, 253 nt
Filed under: uncultured bacterium
Lineage: Bacteria
Description: partial 16S ribosomal RNA
Rfam family: Bacterial small subunit ribosomal RNA
Source: RNAcentral
UACGUAGGGUGCAAGCGUUAAUCGGAAUUACUGGGCGUAAAGCGUGCGCAGGCGGCUUUGCAAGACAGAUGUGAAAUCCCCGGGCUCAACCUGGGAACUGCAUUUGAUACUGGAUAGCUAGAGUUCGGCAGAGGGAAGUGGAAUUUCUGGUGUAGCGGUGAAAUGCGUAGAUAUCAGAAGGAACAUCAGUGGCGAAAGCGACUUCCUGGACCAGAACUGACGAUCAGGCACGAAAGCGUGGGGAGCAAACAGG